This is a long non-coding RNA of Dioscorea cayenensis subsp. rotundata (Guinea yam), 139 nucleotides long. RefSeq lists it as uncharacterized. The transcript is spliced from 2 exons. The record is from RefSeq and is a predicted model, not a curated record. Lineage: Eukaryota; Viridiplantae; Streptophyta; Magnoliopsida; Dioscoreales; Dioscoreaceae.
AAAAUUAUAAAAACUCCACCGCAAAGGAGCAGCCCAAGCAAAUCAUCAGCAGCCAGGGCAGUGAGAUGAUCGCAGAUCCUCUAGAUUGCAUCUUUGGUGAUUUGGAAAGUGGCAAGGAAAUCUCUCAUUCAAACAAUGU